This 392-nucleotide ribosomal RNA is filed under the name uncultured Gammaproteobacteria bacterium. Its description in RNAcentral is "bacterial SSU rRNA". It matches the Rfam family "Bacterial small subunit ribosomal RNA", at positions 370 to 779 of the family's 1533-position model. The record is from RNAcentral. Lineage: Bacteria; Pseudomonadati; Pseudomonadota; Gammaproteobacteria.
AAUGGGGGCAACCCUGAUCCAGCCAUGCCGCGUGAGUGAAGAAGGCCCUAGGGUCGUAAAACUCUUUCGCCUGUGAUGAUAAUGACAGUAGCAGGUAAAGAAACCCCGGCUAACUCCGUGCCAGCAGCCGCGGUAAUACGGAGGGGGUUAGCGUUGUUCGGAAUUACUGGGCGUAAAGCGCACGUAGGCGGAUUAGAAAGUUAGAGGUGAAAUCCCGGGGCUCAACCCCGGAACUGCCUUUAAAACUAUUAGUCUAGAGUUCGAGAGAGGUGAGUGGAAUUCCGAGUGUAGAGGUGAAAUUCGUAGAUAUUCGGAGGAACACCAGUGGCGAAGGCGGCUCACUGGCUCGAUACUGACGCUGAGGUGCGAAAGUGUGGGGAGCAAACAGGAUU